RNAcentral lists this unclassified non-coding RNA (19 nucleotides) under synthetic construct. The record is from RNAcentral.
CUCCCUUCUGUGAAGGGGA